Molecule: small nucleolar RNA, 96 nt
Organism: Macaca mulatta (Rhesus monkey)
Lineage: Eukaryota; Metazoa; Chordata; Mammalia; Primates; Cercopithecidae
Source: Ensembl
AUCAUUUUGUGGCUGAUAUGUGUGAUGAGGGGGUUUUCACACUCUUAUGUGGGAUGGGAAACGUCUUUAGAACAGUGGCACUUUACCUGUCUUAUA